Molecule: ribosomal RNA, 445 nt
Filed under: uncultured bacterium
Lineage: Bacteria
Description: bacterial SSU rRNA
Rfam family: Bacterial small subunit ribosomal RNA
Source: RNAcentral
ACGCAAUAGAUACCCGGGUAGUCCACGCCCUAAACGAUGUCUACUAGUUGUCGGGUCUUAAUUGACUUGGUAAACGCAGCUAAACGCGUGAAGUAGACCGCCUGGGGAGUAUGGUCGCAAGAUUAAAACUCAAAGGAAUUGACGGGGACCCGCACAAGCGGUGGAUGAUGUGGAUUAAAUUCGAUGCAACGCGAAAAACCUUACCUACCCUUGACAUGGAUGGAAUCCUUGAGAGAUUGAGGAGUGCCCGAAAGGGAACCAUUACACAGGUGCUGCAUGGCUGUCGUCAGCUCGUGUCGUGAGAUGUUGGGUUAAGUCCCGCAACGAGCGCAACCCUUGUCAUUAGUUGCUACGAAAGGGCACUCUAAUGAGACUGCCGGUGACAAACCGGAGGAAGGUGGGGAUGACGUCAAGUCCUCAUGGCCCUUAUGGGUAGGGCUUCACA